GGUAGAAUAAGUUAAAUAAACUGUUGGGCUCAUGACCCAAAAAUGAGAAAUUGUAUUUUCUCUUCUACUU
RNAcentral lists this transfer RNA (70 nucleotides) under Amphiura sinicola. RNAcentral describes it as "tRNA-Met". The record is from RNAcentral. Lineage: Eukaryota; Metazoa; Echinodermata; Ophiuroidea; Amphilepidida; Amphiuridae.